UUACGGCCAUAGAACCUUGAAACACCGGUUCCUGGAGGAUCACCGAAGUUAAGCAACGUAGAUCCUGGCCAGUAUGUAGAUGGGUGAUCGCUUGGGAAUACCAGGUAAUGUAA
Non-coding RNA from Acanthosepion pharaonis, 113 nucleotides. Lineage: Eukaryota; Metazoa; Mollusca; Cephalopoda; Sepiida; Sepiidae. The record is from the annotation of a GenBank genome assembly.